UACGUAGGGGGCAAGCGUUGUCCGGAAUCAUUGGGCGUAAGAGCGUGUAGGCGGCUUCGUAAGUUGGAUGUGAAAUCCCACGGCUCAACCGUGGACGUGCAUCCAAAACUACGUCGCUGGAGUCUCGGAGAGGAAGGUGGAAUGCUUGGUGUAGAGGUGAAAUUCGUAGAUAUCAAGCAGAACACCUGCGGCGAAGGCGGCCUUCUGGACGAUGACUGACGCUGAGACGCGAAAGCGUGGGGAGCAAACAGG
This 252-nucleotide ribosomal RNA is filed under the name uncultured bacterium. RNAcentral's name for it is "partial 16S ribosomal RNA". It matches the Rfam family "Bacterial small subunit ribosomal RNA", at positions 524 to 776 of the family's 1533-position model. The record is from RNAcentral.